UUUAGCAGGUUGUGUUUCCGUUUCAGUCAGAGUACAGGUCCCGUUUCUCACCAGACUCUGGGAACAUCCACCCUCUUCCUUCGUUUCACAGGUUAGGGCGGGCCUUCUUGACCUGCUUCUUCAAUCCACCAUGGAGCUCUUCAUUGUGCACCUGCUGGACUGGGGAGAUGUCUUCUUGAACACGUUGGCGGAGACGACCAUGCUCUGCGUUUUCAACAGGGGGGUGAGCGGAUCACUGUUGGAAGUGACAUGAUCGCCAGUGGUACUACAGCGGCCCUUACAUCCUUGAACAACAUCUCUCAUGAUCAAGGUUUAAUUGUAACAACAAUGUUUGGGAGAUAAUCAUCAUCUGUGUACACACAUAAUCCGUACUAUUAACGAUAUGUAGAAACAGUAAGCAUGGUAAGGUUCCAUGAUCAGUAUAUUUCACUUAUGGAGAAGCCUGUUCUCUCAUGACCAAAGUAUGUGAGUAUGGUAAGAUCAAGAUCAAACAGUCACUUUGUCAGUCACUAAGAACUUGGAGCAGAGUAGUAUACAGGCACAGGUAAUUAUACUUGGGACAUAUUCAUUUAUGCAAAAGGAGUGUCCCACAUUCCCUUCACUUUCACCGUUGACAAAUUGGGAUAUAGGCAAAAUGGUACUAAACGUUUGAUUUCUGUUUACACAGAUGGUAACCAACAGAGCCACACAAA
RNAcentral lists this long non-coding RNA (692 nucleotides) under Haliotis rubra (blacklip abalone). RNAcentral describes it as "uncharacterized LOC124272642, transcript variant X1". Lineage: Eukaryota; Metazoa; Mollusca; Gastropoda; Lepetellida; Haliotidae. The record is from RNAcentral.